GGGUAGUCCUAGCCGUAAACGAUGCCCACUAGGUGUGGGGGGUUAUCCCUCCGUGCUGCAGCUAACGCGUUAAGUGGGCCGCCUGGGGAGUACGCCCGCAAGGGUGAAACUCAAAGGAAUUGACGGGACCCCGCACAAGCGGUGGAGCGUGUGGUUUAAUUGGAUGCUAAGCCAAGAACCUUACCAGGGUUUGACAUACAGGUGGUACCAACCCGAAAGGGAAGGGACCCCUUCCUUUUGGAAGGGGAGCCUGUACAGGUGGUGCACGGCCGUCGUCAGCUCGUGCCGUGAGGUGUUGGGUUAAGUCCCGCAACGAGCGCAACCCCUGUCCUUAGUUGCCAGCGGUUUGGCCGGGCACUCUAAGGAGACCGCCGGCGACGAGCCGGAGGAAGGAGGGGAUGGACGUCAGGUACUCGUGCCCUUUAUGCCCUGGGCUACACACGCGCUACAAUGGACGGUACAAUGGGGUUGCGACCUCGCGAGAGGGAAGGCUAAUCCCCAAAAACCGUCCUCAGUUCGGGAUCGCAGGGCUGCAACCCGCUGCGUGAAGCCGGAAUCGCUAGUAA
Molecule: ribosomal RNA, 566 nt
Filed under: uncultured prokaryote
Description: bacterial SSU rRNA
Rfam family: Bacterial small subunit ribosomal RNA
Source: RNAcentral